AACGUAGGUGGCAAGCGUUAUCCGGAGUUACUGGGCGUAAAGAGCGUGUAGGCGGGUAUGCAAGUUUGGCGUGAAAGCUCCCGGCUAAACUGGGAGAGUGCGCUGAAGACUGCGUAUCUAGAGGCGAGUAGAGGGACGUGGAAUUCCGGGUGUAGUGGUGAAAUUCGUAGAUAUUCGCAAGAACACCAGUGGCGAAGGCGGCUCACUGGCCCGAUACUGACGCUGAGGCACGAAAGCGUGGGGAGCAAACAGG
RNAcentral lists this ribosomal RNA (253 nucleotides) under uncultured bacterium. RNAcentral describes it as "partial 16S ribosomal RNA". It matches the Rfam family "Bacterial small subunit ribosomal RNA", at positions 524 to 776 of the family's 1533-position model. The record is from RNAcentral.